AAGUCGUAACAAGGUCUCCGUUGGUGAACCAGCGGAGGGAUCAUUACAGAGUUAUCUAACUCCCAAACCCAUGUGAACUUACCACUGUUGCCUCGGCAGAUGUUGCUGGGCGAACCUACCCUGUAGCGAGCUACUCUGUAGCGACCCUCGACCCGGGAACGGCCUUACCCGCUGUCAGUGCGCCUGCCUGGAUGGAUCUUACUUUAAAACUCUUGUUAAUUUUUCAAGUAAUCUGAAGCGUCUUUAUUUUAAUAAGUCAAAA
This 262-nucleotide unclassified non-coding RNA is filed under the name plant metagenome. RNAcentral's name for it is "partial contains small subunit ribosomal RNA and internal transcribed spacer 1". The stretch from base 1 to 46 matches the Rfam family "Eukaryotic small subunit ribosomal RNA", at positions 1786 to 1831 of the family's 1831-position model. The record is from RNAcentral.